This 989-nucleotide ribosomal RNA is filed under the name Nessorhamphus ingolfianus (duckbill oceanic eel). RNAcentral describes it as "partial 16S ribosomal RNA". It matches the Rfam family "Bacterial large subunit ribosomal RNA", at positions 1283 to 2788 of the family's 2925-position model. The record is from RNAcentral. Lineage: Eukaryota; Metazoa; Chordata; Actinopteri; Anguilliformes; Derichthyidae.
UAGAAGAGAUAAUGCUAAAAUUAGUAAUAAGAGAGAACCAGUCUCUCUCCCAGCAAAUGUGUAAGUCAGAUCGGACAAACCACUGACAAAUAACGGACCCCAAAAAGAGGGUAAAACAACAAACCAGAUAAACAAGAAGAACUUGUGCUAAAACCAACCGUUAUCCCAACACAGGAAUGCCUCAAGGAAAGACUAAAAGGAGAAGAAGGAACUCGGCAAACACAAACCCCGCCUGUUUACCAAAAACAUCGCCUCUUGCUAACAAAAGAUGUAUUAGAGGUCCCGCCUGCCCGGUGACACAAUGUUUAACGGCCGCGGUAUUCUGACCGUGCGAAGGUAGCGUAAUCACUUGUCUUUUAAAUGAAGACCUGUAUGAAUGGCAUCACGAGGGUUUAACUGUCUCCUUCUCCCAGUCAAUGAAAUUGAUCUGCCCGUGCAGAAGCGGACAUAAAGACAUAAGACGAGAAGACCCUAUGGAGCUUCAGGCUAAGGACCAGACAUGUAAAACAGGCCAAUUACUCAAAAAGACCAAUAAAACCCCUAAAACCAAGCGUUAAUUGAUCCAAAUGCCUUCGGUUGGGGCGACCACGGGGGAAAACAAAGCCCCCAUAUGGAACGGAGACACCUCCCAAACCAAGAAAAACACCUCUAAGUAACAGAACAUCUGACCAAAAAUGACCCAGGACAAACAAAACCUGAUCAAUGAACCAAGUUACCCUAGGGAUAACAGCGCAAUCCUUUCCCAGAGUCCAUAUCGACGAAAGGGUUUACGACCUCGAUGUUGGAUCAGGACAUCCUAAUGGUGCAGCCGCUAUUAAGGGUUCGUUUGUUCAACGAUUAACAGUCCUACGUGAUCUGAGUUCAGACCGGAGUAAUCCAGGUCGGUUUCUAUCUAUGAAACUACUUCUUCCCAGUACGAAAGGAUCGAAAGAAGGGGGCCCAUAUUAAAAACAAGCCCCACCCCUACCUUCUGAAAACAAAUAAAGAAG